This 1175-nucleotide ribosomal RNA is filed under the name Sammeyersia grandispora. RNAcentral describes it as "Lulworthia grandispora partial 12S small subunit ribosomal RNA". The stretch from base 129 to 1175 matches the Rfam family "Bacterial small subunit ribosomal RNA", at positions 1 to 1195 of the family's 1533-position model. Lineage: Eukaryota; Fungi; Ascomycota; Sordariomycetes; Lulworthiales; Lulworthiaceae. The record is from RNAcentral.
GGCUAAGGCUGAACUGGCACUUGUUGGAACGAACCAAUUUUUUUAAAGUAAGAUUUUGGUUAAGUUUUACUUAAAAAAAUCUUACUUUAAAAUUAGCUUACUUGUCUAAAGUUUAAAGGAGGUUAAGUUUACUUAAACUUACUUGGCUAAACGAUAAAGGAGGUUGGCACACAAAUAAGAAGCUUUAAAGCUAUAUAAUUCUAACGAUAUAUUUAUUAUGAAAAUAUAUUUUAUUGCGUCUUGACAAAUCACGUGCCAGCAGUCGCGGCAAUACGUGAGAGACUUAGUGUUAUUCAUAUCAAAUAGGUUUAAAGGGUACGUAGGCGGUAAAAAUUAGGUAUAAUAUAAUGNUAUACUAAUUUAACUAGAGUUUUAUAUGUAAGGGGAUCGUACUAAAAGUGGAGAGUCGAUAUUUUUUGAUACUUAUCUAAAUGGACUGGUAUAGGCGUAAAGCAAUCUUUUAAGUAUAAACUGACGCUGAGGGACGAAGGCGCGUAGAAUGAAUAGGAUUAGAUACCCUAGUAAUCGUAGCAGAGAAUGAUGAAUGUCAUAGGUCGGCUCCCGAAGGGAAUUGGACUAUAAAUGAAAAUGUAAGCAUUCCACCUCAAGAGUAAUGUGGCAACGCAGGAACUGAAAUCACUAGGCCGUUUCUAACAUCAGCAGUGAAGUAUGUUGUUUAAUUCGAUGAUCCACGAACAAUCUUACCACAAUUUGAAUAUUGAAUAUUAUAUAUUAUCUGAUAAAUAAUAUAGUAAUAUUGUAUUGUUGCUUUUUUAAAAAGUUUGUUUUUUAUUAAAAAGCUAAAUUAAACAAAAAAAGAUUCCUUUUUUUGUUUAAUUUUGAUAAACAUACAUGAGAGUGGGCAAUUAUAUUAUGUGAAUAGUAUAAUUGUUCAUGAGUAUAAAGAAAAAAUGAGCACAUUGCCGGUAUUGACCAUUUUAGGUCUAAGACCUAGCCACGGCAAUGGGUAGUUAUACCCUUUGGUAUAUUAUACUCCAUGUACCUUUAAUUGAUUUUAAAGUAAUACAAGUGUUGCACGGCUGUCUCAAGGUAAUGCUGUGAAGUUCUGGUUUCGAUCAGUAAUUAUCAAAAACCCUGACUUUAUUUGGAAAUAUUUUAAAGUAGUAUCUAUCAGUACAACUGGGUAGAAUAAUAGGGACUAUGACAAGUCAUCA